Molecule: long non-coding RNA, 274 nt
Organism: Ctenopharyngodon idella (grass carp)
Lineage: Eukaryota; Metazoa; Chordata; Actinopteri; Cypriniformes; Xenocyprididae
Exons: 3
Source: RefSeq, a predicted model, not a curated record
AAUCAUGACCAGCUCGGAGCCCAGGCAGACCACUGCACCGAAAGUCCCCAAACUCCUCUUCCACUCCUACCUUUACAGACAGCACUCACUGACUUCACUGAAGACCACAACAACCAGAAUAUAUUCAACCUCACAGAAAUAAUAAGUCCAUAAAGGUUUGGAAGCACAUGAGGAGAAACCAAGUGCUUGGCUUGGACCUACAAACAACACUCAAAUGCUGUUUCACCUUCAGUAGACUCAAAGAAAAGCAGUAUGAGUUGUUCUCCAGUGUUUA